This 201-nucleotide ribosomal RNA is filed under the name uncultured bacterium. RNAcentral describes it as "partial 16S ribosomal RNA". It matches the Rfam family "Bacterial small subunit ribosomal RNA", at positions 1300 to 1500 of the family's 1533-position model. The record is from RNAcentral.
GUAGUCUGCAACCCGACUACAUGAAGCUGGAAUCGCUAGUAAUCGCAGAUCAGAAUGCUGCGGUGAAUACGUUCCCGGGUCUUGUACACACCGCCCGUCACACCAUGGGAGUCGGAAAUGCCCGAAGCCAGUGACCCAACCUUAAGGAGGGAGCUGUCGAAGGUGGAGCCGGUAACUGGGGUGAAGUCGUAACAAGGUAUC